Long non-coding RNA from Passer domesticus (house sparrow), 551 nucleotides. RefSeq lists it as uncharacterized. NCBI's taxonomy places the organism in Eukaryota, Metazoa, Chordata, Aves, Passeriformes, Passeridae. The record is from RefSeq and is a predicted model, not a curated record. The transcript is spliced from 3 exons.
AAGCGCUCCAUUUUACAGCUGAGUGCUGGUCCUCUCAUUUUUACCUGUUUCAUUUUUACUGAAAGGUUCUACUGGACAAGGAAAACUAUUGCCAGCCUGAGAUUUCCUUCUGAGUAAUAUUUAAAGGGCACAACUGGCUGGCAGAGAGGGCUGCAGUAGGUGGGGGUACACACCCACAGCACACUCAUGGAUUACCGAGGUUAACUGAGGGAAACAUCAUGGGAAACUGAAGGAAGUGGAUUGGAAAUACUCCAAGUAAAGGGUUACACACUGGUGAGCAAUUACUCCCACACAGCCCGGCAGCCCCUCUACCUACACGAAGGGCAAUGGACUCAAAAAGGGCCUGCCCCCAGCACACAAGUGAGGAGGAAGACAGAGAGAAGAGCCAACAAAACAGGAAGGAAAAGGGAUCUACACUGUCUACGGAAUAACAGUUAUUCCAAUUACAUACCUGGAGCCAUCUCCAAGUGAAUAGUACUGGCACAUCAGUAAGGUUUUGUGCCAAAGCAAAAUUAGUGAUGUUCUGCUGGCUGCUGCUGGAUCAAAUUUCU